This 433-nucleotide ribosomal RNA is filed under the name uncultured bacterium. RNAcentral's name for it is "partial 16S ribosomal RNA". It matches the Rfam family "Bacterial small subunit ribosomal RNA", at positions 29 to 507 of the family's 1533-position model. The record is from RNAcentral.
AACGAACGCUGGCGGCAUGCCUAACACAUGCAAGUCGAACGAGACCUUCGGGUCUAGUGGCGCACGGGUGCGUAACGCGUGGGAACCUGCCCUUAGGUUCGGAAUAACUCCCCGAAAGGGGUGCUAAUACCGGAUAAUGUCUUCGGACCAAAGAUUUAUCGCCUUUGGAUGGGCCCGCGUUGGAUUAGCUAGUUGGUAGGGUAAAAGCCUACCAAGGCGACGAUCCAUAGCUGGUCUGAGAGGAUGAUCAGCCACACUGGGACUGAGACACGGCCCAGACUCCUACGGGAGGCAGCAGUGGGGAAUAUUGGACAAUGGGCGAAAGCCUGAUCCAGCAAUGCCGCGUGAGUGAUGAAGGCCUUAGGGUUGUAAAGCUCUUUUACCCGGGAUGAUAAUGACAGUACCGGGAGAAUAGGCUCCGGCUAACUCCGUG